Long non-coding RNA from Panicum hallii, 710 nucleotides. RefSeq lists it as uncharacterized. The transcript has 5 exons. The record is from RefSeq and is a predicted model, not a curated record. Lineage: Eukaryota; Viridiplantae; Streptophyta; Magnoliopsida; Poales; Poaceae.
AAGGGCCCCUGCUGCGUGAGCCCCCUGCUGCUCCCCGCGACCAUCCCCUGGCACCCGAACGUCAUGCCGUCCGUGGCGCCCGGGCAACAUCGUCCUGCGAAGUCAGGGCCACAGCCAGGUCUGCUCGCCAAGAAACCAGUCCGCCGCCACCUCUUUUCCGGCCAAAAAUCCGGCUAUUCCCGCCGUCGUCCGCUGCAUGUAAGAUCCUUUGCUGGAAAUGGGUAUAAUCAUUGGCUUACUGAAUAUGAGAAGGAUGUGGAGAGAAACUACAUGCUUGCCGUGCAUAUUUUCACCAUCUUGCCAGUCCUAUGGUUCACUCUAAUUUCAGCCAUGUCAAGAGGAGGCAAAGGCAAGGUCCAUCCUCUCAUCAUUUCCCUGCAAUGAGGGCGAGCCAAGAACGGCGGGGCAGUGAGGCCUCCGCCUCGCGAAGCUGAUGAGCCAAUCUCCAUUCAAUCUCAGAACCAAGGGAGGAGGAAAGGCAAAGGAAGCGUUUUGUUCAGAUACUGAGGAAGAUGCAGCUAAGGAAGAGAGGCUGCGCGGUCUGCUCGCGCAAGGUUUUACCCUACACCAGUCAUGAACCAAAGGAUUAAAAAAAAGGACUAAAGCAGCAUUAAAUGUUGUCCACAAAGACCAAACUACCCCUGAGGGGAGAGGGGCAGGCUAAGUUGCUGGUUUGACGCGCUCCUUGUGGCGUGCGCGUGCCUGCUGGC